AUGACCUUCCCGACCCUCCCUCUCAGCAGUUUUCCUCCGUCCUUCUGCUCAUGGCAGCACAAGGGACAGAAAAGACAGAGGGCAGUUUCUGCCUUCAGCGAGUUUAUGGAUUAUCUUGGGCUAAAUUUGGUAACUUGAGUGUCACUCUUUCCAGCUCUGACCUCCUGGCAAGACUAUUCCUGAGGCUUUGAUCAAUAACUGCUGUCUGGAGCAGUCUGACCUCGCACAGUGAAGAGCUUGGAGCAAAAUACGUCUUGUUCACCUGCCCCAUGCCAGGCACUCUACUAGGCACUAGAGACCCGGCAGUGAAUAAAUCAUGCGCCCUGAAAUAUGACAGCUGUUGCCCUGAUUUGGGCUCCAGCCGCCCUGCCCCAGGCUCCUGGCAGCCAGGAAUGGAUCUUCAAUCCCGCCCGCCAAGAGGGAUUCCCAUUUCAGGCUAUUCUUCCUGCAGGCACAUACACCUGCCCUCCCCCAGCCUCUGACGUGGGGCAGACACAGGAGCCCAGUGAUCGGCUCAGCUCGAAUAAAUUACCAGCCCAUCAUCUUCAUGCAUAAAACAUGGCACAGGAGGCCGGGAGAGGCUCGGCCGGGCAGCCCAGUGCAGCAGCUGCCUCCAAGGCCAUUCCGGAGUUAAGGGAAGGAAAGGCAAGGCAAGUUACAAGAUAAAAGAAGUCGACGGAAGCCUCGGAUAUAAAAAAGGAGAAGAGGGCUUAAAAAAAAUUUUUUUUUUAUACGUCUGGCCUUGACUUCCUGUCUCUCUACGAGCCCUUUUGUUCCCCCAAGCCAUGAGCAGGGAUUAGACCCUCGUUUGGGGACCAUGGUGUUACCUUCGCGAUUGCACUGGAUCAGGAACAGGCCAUGGAGGGACAGGAUCCGGAGGCGGCAGCUCAACCCUAAAGGGAAGACAUUGUACCAGAGCCAAAGGAGGAAGAAGAAAUAUUAGGCUUUGAAUGGCCACACGGAACCUGUAAUUGUUAAGUCCAAAACGACUUGUUCAAGCAGCAAGACAGCAAAGAGAAGAGGAUUUCGGUUGCAAGAUAAUCUUAUUUUCCUUACUCCAGUGCUCAAGGUGAUUACCAUACCAUGCAAUCCCAUAUCCCACUGCCACACCCUUCGUGAACCUUCCCCCUCAAAGGCCAGUUCGCACAAUGGAUUAAGAGCCUGGGUUCUGGCACCAGAGCACUCGGGUGGGCAUCCUGCCUCUGGUCCUGGUGAACUGUGAGACCCGGAGUGAGGCGAUGAGCGUCCCUGGGCCACACUUUCUUCAUUUGUAAAAUGAGGCUCAUGAAAGUCCCCACCUGCCUGAGUUACUCUGUGGACUCAAUAAGUUACAUUUAUAAAGUUCUGAGGCUGGAUCCCGUGCCAUACAGUAAGCACAAAUAAUAAUAAACCUUGUGUUUAGCGUGUGGCAUGGGAUCCAUCCUAAGAAUGUGACUUUUGUCACUCACAGCUGUAUCCUCAGCGCCUAUGACAGCACCCAGCACAGACAUGGGGAAACUGAGGCUUGUGGAGUUGAAUGACCUGCCUCUGAGGACCCUGCCGAUGCCAGUCCAAGCUGGGAUUCCAGUCUACAAGUUUGGGUUCAGAACCCGCCCUCUUGACUACCCCAUUAUACUGUAUCCUCUGGUUUUCACAUGGCAGGGGCUCCUUAAAUGUUGCUCAAAUUGCUUAUGGAAACGUCUUGAACCUUCUCACUCUUCACACCAACUCCCCCUGGCCUGGAACACUCUCCUUUUCUGCAGGUAUCCCCGCCAUUUCUUAUCACUUCCACGUGUUCCGCAGUGUUCUUCUCCUCUGAAUUUUCAUUGCUCUUUAAUAGUAACACUCACUGGCACUGACCAUAUCCCGUCUUGUUUUGUAACUCAUCUUUUUUUAUGUGCCUUGUUUCUCCAACAAGACUGUAAAUCCACUGAGGAUGCACUUCGUUUGCCUUAUGGUUCUUUAUGUUCCCGGCCGGGACUAGGAUGGCGCCUUGCCUGGAGCAGACUCUCCUUAAACUCUGGCUGAUUGAUAACAGGGGUGCACUAGCAGCUAGAAAUGGAUGAAGCAUCCUCCUCUUACCACGGCCUCUUCUCCUGCUACAGCACAUCCUGCCCCUCGAUCAUGACUGUGAAAAGAGGAGGGGCUUGGGUGAUGGAUGUUAAUGACAGGUGUCCUUCAUGUCUUUCCUUGGGUCUGCCACAUCUGGUACUCAGCGUAGAGGGAGUAUCUGAAAAUGAGUUAACUUCUUCCUUUUCUAGAGGCUCAAGGAAACCCAGAGAGGCAUCUUUUUUUUUUUUCCCCUGAAUUCAGAACCAUUUUAGAUACAGGAAAUAGGCAGAAGAAAAUCAAAGUAACACCUGUAUAACAGGAAAUAGAGAUACAUUUUCUUUUAUUUAUUUAUUUAGUUUUUAAUAGUUAUUUCCCCAAUACAUUUUUUUUUGUACUGUACAGCAUGGUGACCCAGU
Molecule: long non-coding RNA, 2447 nt
Organism: Phacochoerus africanus (Common warthog)
Lineage: Eukaryota; Metazoa; Chordata; Mammalia; Artiodactyla; Suidae
Exons: 4
Source: RefSeq, a predicted model, not a curated record